GAUGAAGAACGUAGCGAAAUGCGAUAAGUAAUGUGAAUUGCAGAAUUCAGUGAAUCAUCGAAUCUUUGAACGCACCUUGCGCCCUUUGGCCAUUCCGAAGGGCAUGCCUGUUUGAGUAUCAUGAACACCUCAACUCUUCAUGGUUUUCCGUGAUGAGCUUGGACUUUGGGGGUCUUGCUGGCCUAUGGUCAGCUCCUCUAAAAUAAAUCAGCUUGCCAGUGUUUGGUGGGUAUCACAGGUGUGAUAACUAUCUACGCUUGUGGUUUUCCACCAGGUAACCUUCAGCAAUGGAGGUUCGCUGGAGCUCACAGAUGUGUCUCUCCUCAGUGAGGACAGCUCUUUGAAUGUUUGAUCUCAAAUCAGGUAGGACUACCCGCUGAACUUAAGCAUAUCAAUAAGCGGAGGA
RNAcentral lists this unclassified non-coding RNA (406 nucleotides) under soil metagenome. RNAcentral's name for it is "partial contains 5.8S ribosomal RNA, internal transcribed spacer 2, and large subunit ribosomal RNA". The stretch from base 1 to 121 matches the Rfam family "5.8S ribosomal RNA", at positions 35 to 154 of the family's 154-position model. The record is from RNAcentral.